UACAGAGGUCCCGAGCGUUGUUCGGAUUCAUUGGGCGUAAAGGGUGCGUAGGUGGCGCUGUAAGUCGGGUGUGAAAUUUCGGAGCUUAACUCCGAAACUGCAUUCGAUACUGCGGUGCUUGAGGACUGGAGAGGAGACUGGAAUUCAUGGUGUAGCAGUGAAAUGCGUAGAGAUCAUGAGGAAGACCAGUGGCGAAGGCGGGUCUCUGGACAGUUCCUGACACUGAGGCACGAAGGCCAGGGGAGCAAACAGG
This 253-nucleotide ribosomal RNA is filed under the name uncultured bacterium. RNAcentral's name for it is "partial 16S ribosomal RNA". It matches the Rfam family "Bacterial small subunit ribosomal RNA", at positions 524 to 776 of the family's 1533-position model. The record is from RNAcentral.